This 567-nucleotide ribosomal RNA is filed under the name Roseovarius nanhaiticus. Its description in RNAcentral is "bacterial LSU rRNA". It matches the Rfam family "Bacterial large subunit ribosomal RNA", at positions 1 to 582 of the family's 2925-position model. Lineage: Bacteria; Pseudomonadati; Pseudomonadota; Alphaproteobacteria; Rhodobacterales; Roseobacteraceae. The record is from RNAcentral.
AAAUCAAGCGCGAAAAGGGCGUUUGGUGAAUGCCUUGGCAGUAAGAGGCGAUGAAGGACGUGAUACUCUGCGAUAAGUCAUGGGGAGCUGAGAAUAAGCUUUGAUCCAUGAAUUUCCGAAUGGGGCAACCCACCUGAUACUGUGUUAUUACUGACCGCAAGGUCAGCUAAUAAUGCGGUAAACCAGGUACUUAUAGACUGAAUACAUAGGUUUAUAAGAGCAAACCCGGAGAACUGAAACAUCUAAGUACCCGGAGGAAAGGACAUCAAUUGAUACUCCCCUAGUAGCGGCGAGCGAACGGGGACCAGCCGAGCCUUGAAUGUGAAUAGAACGUGUUGGGAAGCACGGCCAUAGAGGGUGAUAGCCCCGUAUAUGAAGCACGAUAGGACGUAUUAAGUAGGGCGGGACACGUGAAAUCCUGUCUGAAGAUCGGAGGACCACCUUCGAAGGCUAAGUACUCCUUACUGACCGAUAGUGAACCAGUACCGUGAGGGAAAGGUGAAAAGCACCCCGACGAGGGGAGUGAAACAGUACCUGAAACCGAACGCCUACAAUCAGUCGGAGCCG